RNAcentral lists this transfer RNA (76 nucleotides) under Gammaproteobacteria bacterium. RNAcentral describes it as "tRNA-Trp". It matches the Rfam family "tRNA". From Rfam's summary of the family: Transfer RNA (tRNA) molecules are approximately 80 nucleotides in length. Lineage: Bacteria; Pseudomonadati; Pseudomonadota; Gammaproteobacteria. RNAcentral also lists the same sequence under 2 other names. The record is from RNAcentral.
GGGCCAGUAGUUCAAUUGGUAGAGCACCGGUCUCCAAAACCGGGUGUUGGGAGUUCGAGUCUCUCCUGGCCCGCCA